CCUGGCGGCCGUAGCGCGGUGGUCCCACCUGAUACCAUGCCGAACUCAGAAGUGAAACGCCGUAGCGCCGAUGGUAGUGUGGGGUCUCCCCAUGCGAGAGUAGGGAACUGCCAGGC
RNAcentral lists this ribosomal RNA (116 nucleotides) under Escherichia coli. The record is from RNAcentral. Lineage: Bacteria; Pseudomonadati; Pseudomonadota; Gammaproteobacteria; Enterobacterales; Enterobacteriaceae.